This 468-nucleotide ribosomal RNA is filed under the name uncultured bacterium. Its description in RNAcentral is "partial 16S ribosomal RNA". It matches the Rfam family "Bacterial small subunit ribosomal RNA", at positions 28 to 507 of the family's 1533-position model. The record is from RNAcentral.
GACGAACGCUGGCGGCGUGCUUAACACAUGCAAGUCGAACGGAAAGGCCCUGCUUUUGUGGGGUGCUCGAGUGGCGAAAGGGUGAGUAACAAGUGAGGAACCUGCCCUUGACUUUGGGAUAACUUCAGGAAACUGGGGCUAAUAACGGAUAGGAGCUCCUGCUGCAUGGUGGGGGUUGGAAAGUUUCGGCGGUUGGGGAUGGACUCGCGGCUUAUCAGCUUGUUGGUGGGGUAGUGGCUUACCAAGGCUUUGACGGGUAGCCGGCCUGAGAGGGUGACCGGCCACAUUGGGACUGAGAUACGGCCCAGACUCCUACGGGAGGCAGCAGUGGGGAAUAUUGCACAAUGGGCGGAAGCCUGAUGCAGCAACGCCGCGUGCGGGAUGACGGCCUUCGGGUUGUAAACCGCUUUCGCCUGUGACGAAGCGUGAGUGACGGUAAUGGGUAAAGAAGCACCGGCUAACUACGUG